CGAGUGGCGGACGGGUGAGUAAUGUCUGGGAAACUGCCUGAUGGAGGGGGAUAACUACUGGAAACGGUAGCUAAUACCGCAUAACGUCGCAAGACCAAAGAGGGGGACCUUCGGGCCUCUUGCCAUCGGAUGUGCCCAGAUGGGAUUAGCUAGUAGGUGGGGUAACGGCUCACCUAGGCGACGGUCCCUAGCUGGUCUGAGAGGAUGACCAGCCACACUGGAACUGAGACACGGUCCAGACUCCUACGGGAGGCAGCAUG
This 260-nucleotide ribosomal RNA is filed under the name uncultured bacterium. Its description in RNAcentral is "partial 16S ribosomal RNA". It matches the Rfam family "Bacterial small subunit ribosomal RNA", at positions 92 to 353 of the family's 1533-position model. The record is from RNAcentral.